UGCUCGACUGGGAUUCGAACCCAGGACUCUUGUAUGCUCGAAGAGCACUUUACCAACAAAGCUACCCCGAGC
Molecule: transfer RNA, 72 nt
Filed under: Aedes aegypti (yellow fever mosquito)
Lineage: Eukaryota; Metazoa; Arthropoda; Insecta; Diptera; Culicidae
Description: partial tRNA-OTHER
Source: RNAcentral